GAGUUUGAUCCUGGCUCAGGAUGAACGCUGGCGGCGUGCCUAACACAUGCAAGUCGAACGAAGCACCUUUUAAGAUUCUUCGGAUGAUUGAUUGGUGACUGAGUGGCGGACGGGUGAGUAACGCGUGGGUAACCUGCCCUGUACAGGGGGAUAACAGCUGGAAACGGCUGCUAAUACCGCAUAAGCGCACGAGAGGACAUCCUCUUGUGUGAAAAACUCCGGUGGUACAGGAUGGGCCCGCGUCUGAUUAGCUGGUUGGCAGGGUAACGGCCUACCAAGGCAACGAUCAGUAGCCGGUCUGAGAGGAUGAACGGCCACAUUGGAACUGAGACACGGUCCAGACUCCUACGGGAGGCAGCAGUGGGGAAUAUUGGGCAAUGGGCGCAAGCCUGACCCAGCAACGCCGCGUGAGGGAAGAAGGUUUUCGGAUUGUAAACCUCUGUCGCAGGGGACGAAGGAAGUGACGGUACCCUGUAAGAAAGCCCCGGCUAACUACGUGCCAGCCGCCGCGGUAAUAC
This 518-nucleotide ribosomal RNA is filed under the name uncultured bacterium. RNAcentral describes it as "bacterial SSU rRNA". It matches the Rfam family "Bacterial small subunit ribosomal RNA", at positions 9 to 526 of the family's 1533-position model. The record is from RNAcentral.